CCCAGACUCCUACGGGAGGCAGCAGUGGGGGAUAUUGCACAAUGGGGGGAACCCUGAUGCAGCGACGCCGCGUGGGUGAAGGAGCGUUUCGGCGCGUAAAGCCCUAUCGGCAGGGAAGAAGGAGGACGGUACCUGACUAAGAAGCCCCGGCUAACUACGUGCCAGCAGCCGCGGUAAUACGUAGGGGGCAAGCGUUAUCCGGAUUUACUGGGUGUAAAGGGGGCGCAGACGGCAGCGCAAGCCAGGAGUGAAAGCCCGGGGCCCAACCCCGGGACUGCUCUUGGAACUGCGCGGCUGGAGUGCAGGAGGGGCAGGCGGAAUUCCUGGUGUAGCGGUGAAAUGCGUAGAUAUCAGGAGGAACACCGGUGGCGAAGGCGGCCUGCUGGACUGCGACUGACGUUGAGGCCCGAAAGCGUGGGGAGCAAACAGGAUUAGAUACCCCUGUACC
RNAcentral lists this ribosomal RNA (448 nucleotides) under uncultured bacterium. RNAcentral describes it as "partial 16S ribosomal RNA". It matches the Rfam family "Bacterial small subunit ribosomal RNA", at positions 330 to 794 of the family's 1533-position model. The record is from RNAcentral.